RNAcentral lists this ribosomal RNA (473 nucleotides) under uncultured bacterium. RNAcentral's name for it is "partial 16S ribosomal RNA". It matches the Rfam family "Bacterial small subunit ribosomal RNA", at positions 28 to 507 of the family's 1533-position model. The record is from RNAcentral.
GAUGAACGCUAGCGGCAGGCCUAAUACAUGCAAGUCGAACGGGUGGUCGCAAGACCACUAGUGGCGCACGGGUGCGUAACGCGUAACCAACCUGCCCCGAUCUGGGGGAUAGCCCGCCGAAAGGCGGAUUAAUACCGCAUAUACCCGCAGCCUGGCAUCAGGCAACGGGGAAAGAUUUAUUGGAUCGGGAUGGGGUUGCGUGACAUUAGCUAGUUGGCGGGGUAAGGGCCCACCAAGGCGACGAUGUCUAGGGGACCUGAGAGGGUGAUCCCCCACACUGGCACUGAGAUACGGGCCAGACUCCUACGGGAGGCAGCAGUAGGGAAUAUUGGGCGAUGGGCGAGAGCCUGACCCAGCCAUGCCGCGUGCCGGAUGAAGGCCUUCUGGGUUGUAAACGGCUUUUCUCAGGGAAGAAAAGGACCUUGCGAGGUACACUGACGGUACCUGAGGAAUAAGCACCGGCUAACUCCGUG